RNAcentral lists this long non-coding RNA (223 nucleotides) under Phoenix dactylifera (date palm). RNAcentral describes it as "long non-coding RNA (PDAC_LNC013277)". The record is from RNAcentral. Lineage: Eukaryota; Viridiplantae; Streptophyta; Magnoliopsida; Arecales; Arecaceae.
UAUAAAAGCUUGGCUUAGGAUUUGACCCCAAGGAGAGGUGGCAUUCUCUCCUUCCUCAGUGCCCUAGGAGCCACCACCUGCCCCUCCCUUCAGGCCAGCUCAGGGUUCAGCUGCCGAGGAGGAGAAGGAGGUGGCGGGCUCUGGUUGUGCAUGCUUGUGGGGGUCUCUUCUUUGGCCACCUGGUGGUCCUGUCUUUUCAGCCAUCGGGGAAGAUGGCAUUCUG